This 406-nucleotide ribosomal RNA is filed under the name uncultured bacterium. RNAcentral describes it as "partial 16S ribosomal RNA". It matches the Rfam family "Bacterial small subunit ribosomal RNA", at positions 30 to 526 of the family's 1533-position model. The record is from RNAcentral.
AUUGAACGCUGGCGGCAGGCCUAACACAUGCAAGUCGAGCGAGCGGCGGACGGGUGAGUAAUGUCUGGGAAACUGCCUGAUGGAGGGGGAUAACUACUGGAAGCGGUAGCUAAUACCGCAUACCAUCAGACCUGCCCCGAUGGGAUUAGCUAGUGGGUGGGGUAACGGCUCACCUAGGCGACGAUCCCUAGCUGGUCUGAGAGGAUGACCAGCCACACUGGAACUGAGACACGGUCCAGACUCCUACGGGAGGCAGCAGUGGGGAAUAUUGCACAAUGGGCGAAAGCCUGAUGCAGCCAUGCCGCGUGUGUGAAGAAGGCCUUCGGGUUGUAAAGUACUUUCAGCGGGGAGGCGUUACCAGCAGAAGAAGCACCGGCUAACUCCGUGCCAGCAGCCGCGGUAAUUC